GACGAACGCUGGCGGCGUGCUUAACACAUGCAAGUCGAACGGACAGACAGAGAGCUUGCUCUCUUGAAGUUAGUGGCGAACGGGUGAGUAACGCGUAAUCAACCUGCCCUUCAGAGGGGGAUAACAACGGGAAACCGUUGCUAAUACCGCGUACGAUUCAUGAACGGCAUCGUUUAUGAAUGAAAGGUGGCCUCUAUGUAUAAGCUAUCGCUGAAGGAGGGGAUUGCGUCUGAUUAGCUAGUUGGAGGGGUAACGGCCCACCAAGGCAAUGAUCAGUAGCCGGUCUGAGAGGAUGAACGGCCACAUUGGGACUGAGACACGGCCCAAACUCCUACGGGAGGCAGCGGUGGGGAAUCUUCCGCAAUGGACGAAAGUCUGACGGAGCAACACCGCGUGAGUGAUGAAGGUCUUCGGAUUGUAAAGCUCUGUUAAUCGGGACGAAAGAGUUCUGCGUGAAUAAUGCAGAAAAGUGACGGUACCGGAAUAGAAAGCCACGGCUAACUACGUGCCAGCCGCCGCGGUAA
RNAcentral lists this ribosomal RNA (524 nucleotides) under uncultured bacterium. RNAcentral describes it as "partial 16S ribosomal RNA". It matches the Rfam family "Bacterial small subunit ribosomal RNA", at positions 28 to 523 of the family's 1533-position model. The record is from RNAcentral.